This 447-nucleotide ribosomal RNA is filed under the name uncultured bacterium. Its description in RNAcentral is "partial 16S ribosomal RNA". It matches the Rfam family "Bacterial small subunit ribosomal RNA", at positions 29 to 523 of the family's 1533-position model. The record is from RNAcentral.
AACGAACGCUGGCGGCAUGCCUAACACAUGCAAGUCGAACGCACCGCAAGGGGAGUGGCGAACGGGUGAGUAACGCGUGGGAACCUACCCAGCGGUUGGGGAUAACCGCGGGAAACUGCGGCCAAUACCGAAUACGUCCUAAGGGAGAAAGAUUUAUCGCUGUGGGAGGGGCCCGCGUCGGAUUAGCUAGUUGGUGAGGUAACGGCUCACCAAGGCGACGAUCCGUAGCUGGUCUGAGAGGAUGAUCAGCCACACUGGGACUUAGACACGGCCCAGACUGCUACGGGAGGCAGCAGUGGGGAAUAUUGGACAAUGGGGGCAAGCCUGAUCCAGCAAUGCCGCGUGAGUGUUGAAGGCCUUAGGGUUGUAAAGCUCUUUUACCGGGGACGAUGAUGACGGUACCCGGAGAAUAAGCCCCGGCUAACUUCGUGCCAGCAGCCGCGGUAA